GAUGAACGCUGGCGGCGUGCCUAAUACAUGCAAGUCGAGCGAACGGACGAGAAGCUUGCUUCUCUGAUGUUAGCGGCGGACGGGUGAGUAACACGUGGAUAACCUACCUAUAAGACUGGGAUAACUUCGGGAAACCGGAGCUAAUACCGGAUGAUAUUUUGAACCGCAUGGUUCAAAAGUGAAAGACGGUCUUGCUGUCACUUAUAGAUGGAUCCGCGCUGCAUUAGCUAGUUGGUAAGGUAACGGCUUACCAAGGCAACGAUGCAUAGCCGACCUGAGAGGGUGAUCGGGCACACUGUCACUGAGACACGGUCCAGACUCCGACGGGAGGCCGCAGUAGGGAAUCUUCCGCGAUGGGCGAGAGCCUGACGGAGCGACGCCGCGUGAGUGAUGAAGGUCUUCGGAUCGUAAAACUCUGUUAUUAGGGAAGAACAUAUGUGUAAGUAACUGUGCACAUCUUGACGGUACCUAAUCAGAAAGCCACGGCUAACUACGUG
Molecule: ribosomal RNA, 497 nt
Filed under: uncultured bacterium
Lineage: Bacteria
Description: partial 16S ribosomal RNA
Rfam family: Bacterial small subunit ribosomal RNA
Source: RNAcentral